Molecule: ribosomal RNA, 253 nt
Filed under: uncultured bacterium
Lineage: Bacteria
Description: partial 16S ribosomal RNA
Rfam family: Bacterial small subunit ribosomal RNA
Source: RNAcentral
UACAGAGGUCCCAAGCGUUGUUCGGAUUCACUGGGCGUAAAGGGUGCGCAGGUGGGUUGGCAAGUUCGAUGUGAAAGCCCCGGGCUUAACCCGGGAAUGGCAUUGGAUACUGCUGAUCUGGAGGAUCGGAGGGGGGACUGGAAUUCUUGGUGUAGCAGUGAAAUGCGUAGAUAUCAUGAGGAAUACCAGAGGCGAAGGCGGCUACCUGGACAAUUGCUGACGCUCAGGCACGAAAGCGUGGGGAGCAAAAGGG